This 235-nucleotide long non-coding RNA is filed under the name Polistes fuscatus (common paper wasp). RNAcentral's name for it is "uncharacterized LOC122517441". The record is from RNAcentral. Lineage: Eukaryota; Metazoa; Arthropoda; Insecta; Hymenoptera; Vespidae.
GCAUGCGCGAAUCAGUCUGCCGUAAAGGAACAUAUGAAAAAUUUAUCAGUGAUAAAACUUGUGUAAAAAACUUUGAUAAAAGAACUUAGAAAACUUUAAUAAAGUUUUUUAGUAUUCGAGGUUAAUUGUUCUUAUCAUUCUUUAUUAUCCGGAUUUCAAUUGGAAACCGAAUCCUAUUGCUGUAUUACAAUAUUUGAACACAGUGCAACAGCAACAGCAAACUCUUCUCGUGCAC